This 819-nucleotide ribosomal RNA is filed under the name uncultured bacterium. Its description in RNAcentral is "bacterial SSU rRNA". It matches the Rfam family "Bacterial small subunit ribosomal RNA", at positions 8 to 812 of the family's 1533-position model. The record is from RNAcentral.
AGAGUUUGAUUCCUGGCUCAGGAUGAACGCUAGCGACAGGCUUAACACAUGCAAGUCGAGGGGCAGCGGUGGUGAAGGCUUGCCUUCACCAGCCGGCGACCGGCGCACGGGUGAGUAACACGUAUGCAACCUGCCUGCCACAGCCGGAUAAUCGGGAGAAAUCCCGUCUAAUACGGCAUAAUGCAUCGACGGGACAUCCUGUUGGUGCCAAAGGUUAAUUCCGGUGGCGGAUGGGCAUGCGUCGCAUUAGUUAGUUGGCGGUGUAACGGACCACCAAGACGACGAUGCGUAGGGGUUCUGAGAGGAAGGUCCCCCACACUGGUACUGAGACACGGACCAGACUCCUACGGGAGGCAGCAGUGAGGAAUAUUGGUCAAUGGGCGGGAGCCUGAACCAGCCAAGUCGCGUGAGGGAUGACGGCUCUAUGGGUUGUAAACCUCUUUUGCCGGGGAGCAAAGUGCCGCACGUGUGCGGUUUGGAGAGUACCCGGAGAAAAAGCAUCGGCUAACUCCGUGCCAGCAGCCGCGGUAAUACGGAGGAUGCGAGCGUUAUCCGGAUUUAUUGGGUUUAAAGGGUGCGUAGGCGGACGCUUAAGUCAGCGGUAAAAUUGCGGGGCUCAACCUCGUCGAGCCGUUGAAACUGGGUGCCUUGAGUGGGCGAGAAGUACGCGGAAUGCGUGGUGUAGCGGUGAAAUGCAUAGAUAUCACGCAGAACUCCGAUUGCGAAGGCAGCGUACCGGCGCCCAACUGACGCUGAAGCACGAAGGCGUGGGUAUCGAACAGGAUUAGAUACCCUGGUAGUCCACGCAGUAAACGAUGA